Molecule: ribosomal RNA, 505 nt
Filed under: uncultured bacterium
Lineage: Bacteria
Description: partial 16S ribosomal RNA
Rfam family: Bacterial small subunit ribosomal RNA
Source: RNAcentral
GACGAACGCUGGCGGCGUGCCUAAUACAUGCAAGUAGAACGCACAGUUUAUACCGUAGCUUGCUACACCAUAGACUGUGAGUUGCGAACGGGUGAGUAACGCGUAGGUAACCUGCCUGGUAGCGGGGGAUAACUAUUGGAAACGAUAGCUAAUACCGCAUAAUAUUAAUUAUUGCAUGAUAAUUAAUUGAAAGGUGCAAUUGCACCACUACCAGAUGGACCUGCGUUGUAUUAGCUGGUAGGUGAGGUAACGGCUCACCUAGGCGACGAUACAUAGCCGACCUGAGAGGGUGAUCGGCCACACUGGGACUGAGACACGGCCCAGACUCCUACGGGAGGCAGCAGUAGGGAAUCUUCGGCAAUGGACGAAAGUCUGACCGAGCAACGCCGCGUGAGUGAAGAAGGUUUUCGGAUCGUAAAGCUCUGUUGUAAGAGAAGAACGGGUGUGAGAGUGGAAAGUUCACACUGUGACGGUAUCUUACCAGAAAGGGACGGCUAACUACGUG